Molecule: small nuclear RNA, 343 nt
Filed under: Notechis scutatus (mainland tiger snake)
Lineage: Eukaryota; Metazoa; Chordata; Lepidosauria; Squamata; Elapidae
Description: 7SK RNA (ENSNSUG00000011987.1)
Rfam family: 7SK RNA
About the family: 7SK was discovered as an abundant small nuclear RNA in the mid-70s but a possible function has only recently been suggested.
Source: RNAcentral
GAAUGUGAGAGUGAUCUGCCUGUGACAUCUAUCAGUGCCACCCCAUUGAUCAUCAAGAUUAAUUUGGCUGAUCUGGCUGGUUAUACAGCUGUACUCUUUUUCAUAGCUUUGUGUACAUUCCUCUUGAAGUUGCACGCUUGAUGGGAGAGGAUGACAAUCCCAGAGCAGAGUCCACUGAUCUUCAGUCAAGGAUUUACCAUAGCUGAAUUCCCCUGUUAGAUUUAUGAAGAUAUCCAGUAGUUUCAUGUAGAUGUUAAACAGAAGACAACUAGAAAAUGUACUGUUCUAAGAACAAAAGCCCAGACCUUUGAUGACCUGUAGAACCAGUCCUCUGUCCCCCUGU